This 484-nucleotide ribosomal RNA is filed under the name uncultured bacterium. RNAcentral's name for it is "partial 16S ribosomal RNA". It matches the Rfam family "Bacterial small subunit ribosomal RNA", at positions 30 to 507 of the family's 1533-position model. The record is from RNAcentral.
ACUGAACGCUGGCGGCAGGCCUAACACAUGCAAGUCGAGUGGAUGAAGGGAGCUUGCUCCUGGAUUCCGCGGCGGACGGGUGAGUAAUGCCUAGGAAUCUGCCUGGUCGUGGGGGAUAACGUCCGGAAACGGGCGCUAAUACCGCAUACGUCCUGAGGGAGAAAGUGGGGGAUCUUCGGACCUCACGCUAUCAGAUGAACCUAGGUCGGAUUAGCUAGUUGGUGGGGUAAAGGCCUACCAAGGCGACGAUCCGUAACUGGUCUGAGAGGAUGAUCAGUCACACUGGAACUGAGACACGGUCCAGACUCCUACGGGAGGCAGCAGUGGGGAAUAUUGGACAAUGGGCGAAAGCCUGAUCCAGCCAUGCCGCGUGUGUGAAGAAGGCCUUCGGAUUGUAAAGCACUUUAAGUUGGGAGGAAGGGCAGUAAGUUAAUACCUUGCUGUUUUGACGUUACCAACAGAAUAAGCACCGGCUAACUUCGUG